Molecule: ribosomal RNA, 457 nt
Filed under: uncultured bacterium
Lineage: Bacteria
Description: bacterial SSU rRNA
Rfam family: Bacterial small subunit ribosomal RNA
Source: RNAcentral
UACGGGAGGCAGCAGUGGGGAAUAUUGCACAAUGGGCGCAAGCCUGAUGCAGCCAUGCCGCGUGUAUGAAGAAGGCCUUCGGGUUGUAAAGUACUUUUAGUCGUGAGGAAGGUGUUAAGGUUAAUAACCUUAGCAAUUGACGUUAGCGACAGAAGAAGCACCGGCUAACUCCGUGCCAGCAGCCGCGGUAAUACGGAGGGUGCGAGCGUUAAUCGGAAUUACUGGGCGUAAAGGGCACGCAGGCGGUUAAUUAAGUUGGAUGUGAAAUCCCCGGGCUUAACCUGGGAAUGGCAUUCAAGACUGGUUAGCUAGAGUCUUGUAGAGGGGGGUAGAAUUCCAUGUGUAGCGGUGAAAUGCGUAGAGAUGUGGAGGAAUACCGGUGGCGAAGGCGGCCCCUGGACAAAGACUGACGCUCAUGUGCGAAAGCGUGGGGAGCAAACAGGGAUUAGAUACCCGU